GCGGGCGGGCGGCCGAAGGCGGGACCGGCCCCCGGCUGCUGAGGCUGGUCCUGAUGCGGAGAAUUACCCCUACCUGGGCGGGGCGAGGGUUUAUGCCGUGUUCCCGUGCCAGGGUCCUGUGACCUCCAGCACCUGCUCAAGGUGUCCUUCCGAGGAGGCUUUCGGACAUCCCAGACCCGGUCACUGUCCGCGACGGGUCUGCGGGAGCUGGGUGAGGGGCACCUGCAGUUUGCCGCUUCACCCCGCAUAUUGGGUGGACUGACAGGGCUGGUUUGUUUGUUUGUUGAGACCGGGUUUUUCUGUGUAGCCCUGGAUGCCCUGGAACUCGCUCUGCUGGCCUCGAACUCGGAGAUCCGCCUGCCUCUGCCUCCCGAGUGCUGGGACUAAAGCCGUGCGCCACCACCGCCUGGCUGACACGGCUAUUUUUAAUCGGAGGUAGGAUUUUAGUUUUUUAAACCAGGAAUCCCAGCUGACCUCGAACUCGGGGUCUCCCGGGUUUCUCUUCCAGUCUCCGCCUUCGGAGUUUCUAGGUUACUUUGAAAACGUUGACUGCUCCCUGGCUCAGGCCAUCUGGAGGGGCUCUGCCCUGGAGGAUUCCCUCUGAGCACUGACUCGCUUGGCAACGUGGAGCAAAACGGGAGGAAGCUGACAAAGUUUUCUCUCCGAGGGCAAGCAAGUACUGGAGGAAAUCACAAGCAGCCGUUCUCUUACCCACUCCUACCACUGCCGUUUUCUGAUCCACCCAUCGUCCUGAGGCAGUGAGAUUCGAGGAAGCUGGGACUGAGUCUGACACAGUGGCUUUUGCUCGGUCCUUUUUGCUUCCCUCGAGACAGGGUCUUGCUCUAUUGCCCAGUCUGGCCUUGAAGUCCAGUGGAGGCAACAUUCCUGCCUCAGCUUUGGUGGGUAGCUGGGACUGCAAGUGCGCAACGCUUGCUAUUACUGGGGCAGGCCUGACGGAGUUUUGUAGAUAAGAGUAACUUAAGAUGUGUGGAGUCAUUUUCUGCUGAUGACUUACCCACUGGAGCCAGAAAUCAAAGCUUCUGUUAGAACCUCUCAAAUAGCAAGCUCCCGCCGGGCGGUGGUGGUGCACGCCUUUAAUCCCAGCACUCGGGAGGCAGAGCCAGGCGGAUCUCUGUGAGUUCGAGGCCAGCCUGGGCUACCAAGUGAGUUCCAGGAAAGGCGCAAAGCUACACAGAGAAACCCUGUCUCGAAAAACCAAAAAAAAAAAAAAAAAAAAAAAAAAAAAAAUAGCAAGCUCCCCUGACUUGUUCCCUUGUUAUCUUUCCAUACGUGUUUCCACCAUUUUCUUGAUGGAAAGGCCCCAUACCCUCAACCAUCUUGUCAACCAUCUUGGUAGUCUCCGAUCCACCCCCACCUCCCUAGCGAGUCGUGUGUCGUCGUCGUCGCCGCCCCCCCCCCCCCCCCCCCCCCCCCCCCGACCAUUUUUCAAACUGCUGCUGGAGGGAUUGUUGAAAACGCAGUACCUCAGGAAAGAAGGUGCCGAGCAUCAGGUUUUGUGGUUGGUUGGUUGGAGGUUUUAUUGAGACAGGAUCUCUGCAGCCUCAUCUGGCCUCAGACCUACAGUGAGCUCUUGCCUGAGCAAGGAUUGUAAGGGUGAACCACUGUGCUUUAUUUGUUUCUAUUUCUCACUUACUCUAGUUUUUAAAAAGGUGUGUGUGUAUACGUGUGUAUGCUCCAUGUGUGUGGGUGCCCAAGGAGGCUGGAAAAGGACAUUGGUUCCCCUGUAACCUGAGUUAGACGUAGUUACAUGUUGCUGAAUGUGGGUGCUGGGAACGCAAAACUGAGGUCCUCUGGAAGAGCAAGCACCAAGCACUCUUAACCAUGGAGCCAUCUCUACACCGCACUGUUCUAAUAAGCUCCAAUUUUUAUGUGCAAUGUUCUUUGACCAUGACAUUGAAGACUAGAGUAAAAAAACAGCUUAACAUGAGGUCUUACAGAGCCAUAGCCUAGUACUUCUCCAGUAUACUAACUUUCCGGAGUACUGUCCGGUUCAACUAGAAACCUUGGAUGUCAUUUCUUAAACCUGUGUAUUCUCCCUGUGUAGACUGCUCACUCUGACAUUCUCUGCUUACCUGACUAGAGAACUCCACUCUGAACAGUGAGAUGACAGUUUUCACAGAAGUCCCUCUGUGCCUCUCCUCCCAGGUUUCUUUACAUCACUUUAUCUCGUUGUGGUGGUGUUUCUCGUGUAUUGCCUUUGUAAUGCUGAACUCCUUCCAAGACUAAUUUAUCUCUGUAUUUUUAGAACUUAGUGUUCUUGUAUGUAUGGGGCAGUUUAAAUACAUGUGCCUUGAACUGUUGUGGAAUAUUAUUUUAACUAGGCAAAGAUGUGUUCAUUUGUUUAUGCCGCAGACUAUUACUUUAACUGUGUAAAGGUGUGUUGCUUUUGUUUAUGAUGCAUUUUGUUUAACGAUGUAAGGAUGUGUGUUUAACUAUGUAAAGAUGUGUUGCAUCUGUUUCACCUUGCCUGCCUAAGGCACCUAAUUGAUCGAAUAAAAAGCUGAACAGCCAAUAGCUAGGCAGGAGAAAGGAUAGAUGAGGCUGGCAGGGAGAGAGAAUAAAUAGGAGAAAUCUAGGCUCAAGAGAAGAGGGAGAAAGAAGGAAGAGAGAAUUAGGGAGAUGCCAGCCAUACAGAAGCAGUGAAAUAAGAUAUACAGAAGGAAGAAAGGUAAUAAGCCCCGAGGCAAAAGGUAAAUAAAGAGAAACAGAUUAAGUUAAAAGAGCUAGCCAGAAAUGUGACUAAGCUAGGCCAAGCAUUCAAAACUAAUAAUAAGUCUCUGUGUCAUGAUUUGGGAGCCUGGUACAUUGAACAAGUUGGUUUGCUUUAUAUUCAUGAUGAGAGAUGGAGUUGUUACUAAACUACCUAUCUAGGGCCAGGUGAUGAGCAGUUGUAACAAGUCUUUUUCUGUCCUGCCAGCCAGCUCCCAAAUACCAACACAGAGACUUUGUAGUGGGUAGCCGUUCCAGCUUUGACUUGGAAGUGCCACCCCCAAUUGAGGCUUCAGUAACUGUCAUGCCUACAAGGCGGAGCCGAGAGAGGACCCUGAAGACCCGAGAUCCGGAUGGGCCGGCUCUCUCAGUUCCUGGAUCCUGGAUGCUGGAGGUACACUGAGUAGAGUUCUCCAGAGAACACCGCUGGACUGCGCUUCACCUUUCACAGACCCUGUAACCUAUCCCUUCACUUGUAAGUUACCCCAUAGAAUAAACCUCCCUUUUAACUACA
Long non-coding RNA from Peromyscus californicus insignis, 3244 nucleotides. RefSeq lists it as uncharacterized. The transcript is spliced from 2 exons. The record is from RefSeq and is a predicted model, not a curated record. Lineage: Eukaryota; Metazoa; Chordata; Mammalia; Rodentia; Cricetidae.